AGUGAACGCUGGCGGUAGGCCUAACACAUGCAAGUCGAACGGCAGCACAGUAAGAGCUUGCUCUUACGGGUGGCGAGUGGCGGACGAGUGAGGAAUACAUCGGAGUCUACUUUUUCGUGGGGGAUAACGUAGGGAAACUUACGCUAAUACCGCAUACGACCUACGGGUGAAAGCAGGGGAUCUUCGGACCUUGCGCGAUUGAAUGAGCCGAUGUCGGAUUAGCUAGUUGGCGGGGUAAAGGCCCACCAAGGCGACGAUCCGUAGCUGGUCUGAGAGGAUGAUCAGCCACACUGGAACUGAGACACGGUCCAGACUCCUACGGGAGGCAGCAGUGGGGAAUAUUGGACAAUGGGCGAAAGCCUGAUCCAGCCAUACCGCGUGGGUGAAGAAGGCCUUCGGGUUGUAAAGCCCUUUUGUUGGGAAAGAAAAGCAGCAGGUUAAUACCCCGCUGUUCUGACGGUACCCAAAGAAUAAGCACCGGCUAACUUCGUG
This 492-nucleotide ribosomal RNA is filed under the name uncultured bacterium. RNAcentral describes it as "partial 16S ribosomal RNA". It matches the Rfam family "Bacterial small subunit ribosomal RNA", at positions 29 to 507 of the family's 1533-position model. The record is from RNAcentral.